This 306-nucleotide ribosomal RNA is filed under the name uncultured bacterium. Its description in RNAcentral is "bacterial SSU rRNA". It matches the Rfam family "Bacterial small subunit ribosomal RNA", at positions 30 to 334 of the family's 1533-position model. The record is from RNAcentral.
AUUGAACGCUGGCGGUAUGCUUAACACAUGCAAGUCGAACGGCAGCACGGGAGCUUGCUCCUGGUGGCGAGUGGCGGACGGGUGAGUAAUACGUAGGAAUCUAUCCAGUAGUUGGGGAUAACCCGGAGAAAUCCGGGCUAAUACCGAAUACGCACUACGGUGGAAAGAGGGGGAUCUUCGGACCUCUCGCUAUCGGGUGAGCCUACGCCGGAUUAGCUAGUUGGUGGGGUAAAGGCCUACCAAGGCGACGAUCCGUAGCUGGUCUGAGAGGACGAUCAGCCACACUGGGACUGAGACACGGCCCAG